GGGGGGCGGGCUUACCAUGCAGUCGAGCGGGGAAGGUAGCUUGCUACCUGACCUAGCGGCGGACGGGUGAGUAAUGCUUAGGAAUCUGCCUAUUAGUGGGGGACAACAUCUCGAAAGGGAUGCUAAUACCGCAUACGUCCUACGGGAGAAAGCAGGGGACCUUCGGGCCUUGCGCUAAUAGAUGAGCCUAAGUCGGAUUAGCUAGUUGGUGGGGUAAAGGCCUACCAAGGCGACGAUCUGUAGCGGGUCUGAGAGGAUGAUCCGCCACACUGGGACUGAGACACGGCCCAGACUCCUACGGGAGGCAGCAGUGGGGAAUAUUGGACAAUGGGGGGAACCCUGAUCCAGCCAUGCCGCGUGUGUGAAGAAGGCCUUUUGGUUGUAAAGCACUUUAAGCGAGGAGGAGGCUACCGAGAUUAAUACUCUUGGAUAGUGGACGUUACUCGCAGAAUAAGCACCGGCUAACUCUGUGCCAGCAGCCGCGGUAAUACAGAGGGUGCAAGCGUUAAUCGGAUUUACUGGGCGUAAAGCGCGCGUAGGUGGCCAAUUAAGUCAAAUGUGAAAUCCCCGAGCUUAACUUGGGAAUUGCAUUCGAUACUGGUUGGCUAGAGUAUGGGAGAGGAUGGUAGAAUUCCAGGUGUAGCGGUGAAAUGCGUAGAGAUCUGGAGGAAUACCGAUGGCGAAGGCAGCCAUCUGGCCUAAUACUGACACUGAGGUGCGAAAGCAUGGGGAGCAAACAGGAUUAGAUACCCUGGUAGUCCAUGCCGUAAACGAUGUCUACUAGCCGUUGGGGCCUUUGAGGCUUUAGUGGCGCAGCUAACGCGAUAAGUAGACCGCCUGGGGAGUACGGUCGCAAGACUAAAACUCAAAUGAAUUGACGGGGGCCCGCACAAGCGGUGGAGCAUGUGGUUUAAU
This 915-nucleotide ribosomal RNA is filed under the name Acinetobacter lwoffii. Its description in RNAcentral is "bacterial SSU rRNA". It matches the Rfam family "Bacterial small subunit ribosomal RNA", at positions 37 to 950 of the family's 1533-position model. Lineage: Bacteria; Pseudomonadati; Pseudomonadota; Gammaproteobacteria; Moraxellales; Moraxellaceae. The record is from RNAcentral.